RNAcentral lists this ribosomal RNA (496 nucleotides) under uncultured bacterium. Its description in RNAcentral is "partial 16S ribosomal RNA". It matches the Rfam family "Bacterial small subunit ribosomal RNA", at positions 28 to 507 of the family's 1533-position model. The record is from RNAcentral.
GAUGAACGCUGCGGCGUGCCUAAUACCUGCAAGUCGAGCGAACGGACGAGAAGCUUGCUUCUCUGAUGUUAGCGGCGGACGGGUGAGUAACACGUGGAUAACCUACCUAUAAGACUGGGAUAACUUCGGGAAACCGGAGCUAAUACCGGAUAAUAUUUUGAACCGCAUGGUUCAAAAGUGAAAGACGGUCUUGCUGUCACUUAUAGAUGGAUCCGCGCUGCAUUAGCUAGUUGGUAAGGUAACGGCUUACCAAGGCAACGAUGCAUAGCCGACCUGAGAGGGUGAUCGGCCACACUGGAACUGAGACACGGUCCAGACUCCUACGGGAGGCAGCAGUAGGGAAUCUUCCGCAAUGGGCGAAAGCCUGACGGAGCAACGCCGCGUGAGUGAUGAAGGUCUUCGGAUCGUAAAACUCUGUUAUUAGGGAAGAACAUAUGUGUAAGUAACUGUGCACAUCUUGACGGUACCUAAUCAGAAAGCCACGGCUAACUACGUG